CAGUCGCCGCGGUAAUACGGAGGGGGCUAGCGUUGUUCGGAAUUACUGGGCGUAAAGCGCACGUAGGCGGCUUUUUAAGUCAGAGGUGAAAGCCCGGAGCUCAACUCCGGAACUGCCUUUGAGACUGGAAGGCUUGAACGUCGGAGAGGUGAGUGGAAUUCCGAGUGUAGAGGUGAAAUUCGUAGAUAUUCGGAAGAACACCAGUGGCGAAGGCGGCUCACUGGACGACUGUUGACGCUGAGGUGCGAAAGCGUGGGGAGCAAACAGGAUUAGAUACCCGCGUAGUCCCUGUCUCUUAUAC
RNAcentral lists this ribosomal RNA (301 nucleotides) under uncultured bacterium. RNAcentral describes it as "partial 16S ribosomal RNA". It matches the Rfam family "Bacterial small subunit ribosomal RNA", at positions 509 to 807 of the family's 1533-position model. The record is from RNAcentral.